GCCGGGAUAGCUCAGCUGGGAGAGCAACAGACUGAAGUGCAUCACGUGCGUCGUGUGAAUUCAUACUUCUGGAGGUCGGGCGUUCGAUCCGCCCUCCUGGCA
Non-coding RNA from Irpex rosettiformis, 102 nucleotides. Lineage: Eukaryota; Fungi; Basidiomycota; Agaricomycetes; Polyporales; Irpicaceae. The record is from the annotation of a GenBank genome assembly.